AACGUAGGACGCAAGCGUUAUCCGGAGUUACUGGGCGUAAAGGGCGGGCAGGCGGCCAGGUAGGUCUGCUGUGAAAACUCGAGGCUUAACCUCGAGCUGUCGGCGGAAACCAUCUGGCUAGAGUCCGGAAGAGGAGAAUGGAAUUCCCGGUGUAGCGGUGAAAUGCGUAGAUAUCAAGAGGAACACCAGUGGCGAAGGCGAGUCCCUGGACAACACCUGACACUGAGGCACGAAAGCUAGGGGAGCAAACAGG
This 253-nucleotide ribosomal RNA is filed under the name uncultured bacterium. RNAcentral's name for it is "partial 16S ribosomal RNA". It matches the Rfam family "Bacterial small subunit ribosomal RNA", at positions 524 to 776 of the family's 1533-position model. The record is from RNAcentral.